GCAAUAUUAACGUCUUCUAAUGGGCUUUACAGACACCUGCGGGAAUAUUUUCAUUCAGUUACAAACCGAAGCCAUCUGUUUACAAUAUCAAAUAGUGGUGAGGUCAUUGUGUGUCUUCAUACUGAUACUAGUUAUGUAGUUUUUUUCAACGGUAUUAACCAAGAACAAGUAUAUGCGUUGGGACUAAUAUUAUUUAUGUCAAGAUUAUAUGGUACAGAAGCGACAGCCCACCACCAUUUACGGGGUUGACGUGGCGUCCUGAUGGCAUCCUGAUGACGUAGCGUCCCGAUGACGUGGCGUCCUGAUGGCGUCCUGAUGGCGUCCCGUUGGUCUGCAGACAAGGAGAAGAGACGUGAGGAGGAUCAUCAGGAUGUGUCUAUCUGGAUUUGCUCCUGAGGGGUUGACGUGGCGUCCUGAUGGCAUCCUGAUGGCGUCCCGAUGACGUGGCGUCCUGAUGGCGUCCUGAUGGCGUCCCGUUGGUCUGCAGACAAGGAGAAGAGACGUGAGGAGGAUCAUCAGGAUGUGUCUGUGUGUACAUCUAAUUGUUAGUGUGUCUGUGUGUAGAUCUAAAU
Long non-coding RNA from Gasterosteus aculeatus aculeatus (three-spined stickleback), 572 nucleotides. The record is from Ensembl. Lineage: Eukaryota; Metazoa; Chordata; Actinopteri; Perciformes; Gasterosteidae.